UACGAAGGUGGCAAGCGUUGUUCGGAUUUACUGGGCGUACAGGGUGCGUAGGCGGUCUGGUAAGCCCUUCGGGAAAGCCCUCGGCUCAACCGGGGAAGUUCGGAGGGUACUGCCGGGCUAGAGGACGGGAGAGGAGCGCGGAAUUCCCGGUGUAGCGGUGAAAUGCGUAGAGAUCGGGAGGAAGGCCGGUGGCGAAGGCGGCGCUCUGGAACGUUCCUGACGCUGAGGCACGAAAGCGUGGGGAGCAAACAGGAUUAGAUACCCUGGUAGUCCACGCCCUAAACGAUGGACACUAAGUGUCGGCGGGUUACCGCCGGUGCCGCAGCUAACGCAUUAAGUGUCCCGCCUGGGAAGUACGGCCGCAAGGUUGAAACUUAAAUGAAUUGACGG
Molecule: ribosomal RNA, 390 nt
Filed under: uncultured bacterium
Lineage: Bacteria
Description: bacterial SSU rRNA
Rfam family: Bacterial small subunit ribosomal RNA
Source: RNAcentral